AAGUCGUAACAAGGUUACCGUAGGUGAACCUGCGGUAGGAUCAUUAACAAAUCCGAGUGGGGCUCCGGCCCUGCAUCAGUUCCGGCGGCGAUGCGCUGUGGCGUUCGCUGCCGUGUUCAACCAACCCCGUGCUCUGCACAAGUAUGUAAGUCUGACAAAAUGAAAAAAAAGUGGGAACAACAAAACAACUUUCAACAAUGGAUCUCUGGGCUCUU
Molecule: unclassified non-coding RNA, 215 nt
Filed under: fungal sp.
Lineage: Eukaryota; Fungi
Description: partial internal transcribed spacer region
Rfam family: Eukaryotic small subunit ribosomal RNA (bases 1-46)
Source: RNAcentral